CUAGUCAACAGUUACUGAGGUUUCUUCUCUUUCAAAGCAAAGAUGCUGUGGACUCUGCUGUUCUUCUGUUUGAUUGGGACGUCUGCUCAGAACCAAGGAGCUAGCUGCACAACAGGAAAACUGAUAGAGGGAGGAAAAACAACUCAGUCUUCAACCUUCAAAACUCU
Molecule: long non-coding RNA, 167 nt
Organism: Mugil cephalus (flathead mullet)
Lineage: Eukaryota; Metazoa; Chordata; Actinopteri; Mugiliformes; Mugilidae
Exons: 3
Source: RefSeq, a predicted model, not a curated record